GUUUGUGGCAGCAUCAGAUCCCACAAAUGGAACAAAUCCGCAUAUGAAUGAAAGAUGACGAGCAAUGAAGCGAUCGACUCGAAGAGGUCAGUCUGGAUCUCAUCCACUGAAUCCACUCUCUCACUUUCCUCCGUCUGUUCAUCUGGAAUGAUGAUGGAGUCUUGAGCAAUUUGGGCUUUCAAGUAUUUCUUGCACCUUUCUGAAGGAAGAGGGGCUCCAGAACUGUCAUCACCUUCUGCCUCACUGAGGGCCACAACAGUGAUAGCAUGCAGUUCCACUGGCAUAUCAUCUUGAUGCAGUGCGCAACAUCAACCCUGAUAUAACAAGGGGGCAGUUUGGCAGACUGGGUUCCAAGAAGGACAUGAAAGCAUUCAUUAAGAGCGGCCAAAUUUGGAAGGUGGCUUGGCUCAGGAUCUCCAACAUCCAUCAGAUCUGCUGCCCUCGCUGACCUCCAUACAGCCAGUUCCAUUCUGCCCUCACACAGCUCUUUAGCGAUCUGUUCACACAGGUUUCCAGACAUGAACCGCUUGGAGUGGCCAGUGUGCAGGGAGAGAUCUGUAUUUCUCAUGAAACACUGGAGCACCAUUGGACUAUUAAUUGCUGUCUGUCUGUCACAUGACAUUUCUAACUGGCCAUGACACUCCUUACAGUCGCCUCUGAUGUCCAGAUAUUUAUUGUUGACAGUUGGAUGGACCUUUGCUCUUCGGAA
Long non-coding RNA from Astatotilapia calliptera (eastern happy), 709 nucleotides. Lineage: Eukaryota; Metazoa; Chordata; Actinopteri; Cichliformes; Cichlidae. The record is from Ensembl.